CGGGGCGUAGCGCAGCCUGGUUAGCGCGACUGCUUUGGGAGCAGUAGGUCGUUGGUUCGAAUCCAAUCGCCCCGACCA
Molecule: transfer RNA, 78 nt
Filed under: Acidobacteriota bacterium
Lineage: Bacteria; Pseudomonadati; Acidobacteriota
Also listed under: 3 other names
Description: tRNA-Pro
Rfam family: tRNA
About the family: Transfer RNA (tRNA) molecules are approximately 80 nucleotides in length. Their secondary structure includes four short double-helical elements and three loops (D, anti-codon, and T loops). Further hydrogen bonds mediate the characteristic L-shaped molecular structure. tRNAs have two regions of fundamental functional importance: the anti-codon, which is responsible for specific mRNA codon recognition, and the 3' end, to which the tRNAs corresponding amino acid is attached (by aminoacyl-tRNA synthetases). tRNAs cope with the degeneracy of the genetic code in two manners: having more than one tRNA (with a specific anti-codon) for a particular amino acid; and 'wobble' base-pairing, i.e. permitting non-standard base-pairing at the 3rd anti-codon position.
Source: RNAcentral